This 403-nucleotide ribosomal RNA is filed under the name uncultured bacterium. RNAcentral describes it as "partial 16S ribosomal RNA". It matches the Rfam family "Bacterial small subunit ribosomal RNA", at positions 28 to 526 of the family's 1533-position model. The record is from RNAcentral.
GACGAACGCUGGCGGCGUGCCUAAUACAUGCAAGUCGAACGCAGUGGGGACGGGUGAGUAACACGUGGGUAACCUACCAUCAGAGGGGAUAAACCUUGGACACAGGUGCUAAACCGAUACUGAUGGAUGGACCUGGGGUGCAUUAGCUAGUUGGUGAGGUAACGGCUCACCAAGGCCACGAUGCAUAGCCGUCCUGAGAGGUGGAUCGGCCACACUGGGACUGGGAAAGGGCCCAGACUCCUAGGGGAGGAAGCAGUGGGGAAUCGUCGGCAAUGGACGAAAGUCGGACCGAGCAACGCCGUGUGAGGGAAGAAGGUUUUCGGAUCGUAAAACACUGUUGUUAGAGAAGCGGUAUCUAACCAGAAAGCCACGGCUAACUACGUGCCAGCAGCCGCGGUAAUAC